This 253-nucleotide ribosomal RNA is filed under the name uncultured bacterium. RNAcentral's name for it is "partial 16S ribosomal RNA". It matches the Rfam family "Bacterial small subunit ribosomal RNA", at positions 524 to 776 of the family's 1533-position model. The record is from RNAcentral.
UACGUAGGGUGCGAGCGUUGUCCGGAAUUACUGGGCGUAAAGAGCUCGUAGGUGGUUUGUCGCGUUGUUCGUGAAAACUCACAACUCAAUUGUGGGCGUGCGGGCGAUACGGGCAGACUGGAGUACUGCAGGGGAGACUGGAGUUCCUGGUGUAGCGGUGGAAUGCGCAGAUAUCAGGAGGAACACCGGUGGCGAAGGCGGGUCUCUGGGCAGUAACUGACGCUGAGGAGCGAAAGCGUGGGGAGCGAACAGG